Molecule: ribosomal RNA, 577 nt
Filed under: uncultured bacterium
Lineage: Bacteria
Description: bacterial SSU rRNA
Rfam family: Bacterial small subunit ribosomal RNA
Source: RNAcentral
CCUACGGGAGGCAGCAGUAAGGAAUAUUGGUCAAUGGAGGCAACUCUGAACCAGCCAUGCCGCGUGCAGGAUGAAGGCCCUAUGGGUCGUAAACUGCUUUUACACAAGAGAAAACCCCGGUACGUGUACCGGGUUGAUAGUAUUGUGAGAAUAAGCAUCGGCUAACUUCGUGCCAGCAGCCGCGGUAAGACGAAGGAUGCAAGCGUUAUCCGGAUUCAUUGGGUUUAAAGGGUGCGUAGGCGGACUUGUAAGUCAGUGGUGAAAUCUCUUUGCUUAACAAGAAACUGCCAUUGAUACCGCAGGUCUAGAGUAUAGAUGACGUUGGCGGAAUAUGACAUGUAGUGGUGAAAUACUUAGAUAUGUCAUAGAACACCGAUUGCGAAGGCAGCUAACGAAACUAUAACUGACGCUGAGGCACGAAAGUGCGGGGAUCAAACAGGAUUAGAUACCCUGGUAGUCCGCACCGUAAACGAUGAUUACUCGUUGUUGGCAAUAUGACCGUCAGCGACCAAGCGAAAGCGAUAAGUAAUCCACCUGGGGAGUACGCCGGCAACGGUGAAACUCAAAGGAUUGACGG